Molecule: long non-coding RNA, 2091 nt
Filed under: Rhinopithecus bieti (black snub-nosed monkey)
Lineage: Eukaryota; Metazoa; Chordata; Mammalia; Primates; Cercopithecidae
Description: lncRNA (ENSRBIG00000045145.1)
Source: RNAcentral
AUGAGAGAACGUUAUAGCUCCAGCGCUGAAUGGAACAUUUUUGAUGCUGUGGUGAUGCGGACUUUGUGCUUCUCUGUGAGGAAACACUUUCUUCCAACGAUGCAGUUUUCCUCACACUCCGGGAGUGUCCUCACUGCCAGAAUUGCCCAGCUUCCUGGCACACCUACCAACCAGUCAUUCCCAGCACUGCCCAGUAUGCAGCCUCCCGGCAGAGGGCCUGGAUGUCUUGGCAGGGAGCAGCAUGCAGAGGGCCCUUGCACAACCUGGGUCUUCUGGAAGUUCCAUGCCCAGGUGUUGGCCCAGCUGUCCUCAUGGUUCCAAGAAGGCUGCCCCAGGAAGGCUUGUGGACAGAGGGAGAAGCAUCUCUUCCUCUAAGUCUCUUUUUAUCUAAGAAACCAGUUUGACCAGCAUCCUUCCCCUCGGCUCUCUGGGAGGAAUGCAUGGAUCCCUUCGCCUUCCCCCAUCCCUCCAUGGUUGACUAAACCCACUAGGAUCCACUCUUUCGUGUGGAAAUGGGUUCAGGCCUCCCAUGAACAGCAUGAAGAUGCCCUCUGAUAUGGGUUACAUUAUGUCCCCUGCCCCUGAGACAGUAUGUUGAGUCCUAACCCUAGUAUUGCAGGAUGUGAAUUUAUUAGGACAUAGGGUCUUUAUGGAGGUCAUUAAGUUAAAUGAGGGCAUUAGGGUGGGCUGCUGUCCUGAUAUUAAGGGGAAAUUUGGGGCUGGGUGUAGUGGCUUACACCUAUAAUCCCAGUGCUUUGGGAGACCAAGGCAGGAGGAUUGCUUGAGGGCAGGAGUUCAAGGUACCGGGGAGACCCGGUAUCUAUAAAAAAAAAUCAAAAACAAAAAAAUUAGUGCGUGGUGCAUGCCUGUAGUCCCAGCUACUCAGGAGGCUGAGGUGGGAGGAUCGCUUGAGUCUAGGAAUUUGAGGCUGCAGUGAGCCAUGAAAAGGUGGGGGACGACGGAGACCCACAGGGAAAGCAUCCUGUGAACGCGGCAGAGGUAAGGGUGACACCUCUACACACUGAGGAACUUCAAAGGCGGCCAGCAAGCCACUGGGAGCUCGGGGAAGGCACAGCGAAGAUGCUCAUCUGCUCGCUGCCCUCAGAGGGAAGCCAGCCCGCCAACCCCUUGAUCUCAGACCUCUGCCCCCCGGAACUGUGAGAUGAUAGAUUUCUGUUGUUUAAGCCCCAGUUUGUGGUGCUUUGUUACAGCAGCCCUAGGGAACCAUCCACUCUCAGAACAAAAGCAGGGCUGGACUGCUAGAAGAAAGGAGAGGAGACCUGCGGAGGAUACCCGCCUUGGGGCUGAACCUGAGAUCACUCCAGGGCUCCCCGGGUUGUUUUGAAGAAUGGAGAUGGAUUUGUGCAGGGCUUACUGUAGAAGCUCAGUACAACAUGUGACGCUUAUAAGGCUGCAAUCCACAGAGCUCAGUCCCCAAGGAGCGCUGCAUGCACAGACAUUCCAAACAGAAAUUCGCAUUUCCCUUGGCUUCUUUCUCAAACAUGGAAGGAGGGACUUCUCAGUGCAUCAUUAAAAAAUUCUCUCCUUGGCCAGUCGUGGUGGUUCAUGCCUGUAAUCCCAGCACUUUGGGAGGCCGAGGCAGGAGGGUUGCUCGAGGCCAGGAGUUCAAGACCAGUCUGGGCAACAUAAUCGAGAUACUGCCUCUACAAAAAAUUAAAACAUUAUUUAAUGUUGAUCUGUGAGAUUUGGGUGCACCCACCACCGGAACAGUAUACACUGAAUCCAAUUUGUAGCUUUUAUCCAUCACCCCCUUCCCACCCUUUCCCCGAAGUCGACUGUGUCAUUCUUAUGCCUUUGCAUCCUCAUAGCUUAGCUCCCACUGAAGAGUGAGAACAUACAAUGUUUGGUUUUCUAUUCCUGAGUUACUUCACUUAGAAUAAUAGUCUCCAAUUCCAUCUAGGUUGCUGUGAAUGUCAUUAAUUCAUUCCUUUUUACGGCUGAGUAGUAUUCUAUCCCAUAUAUAUAUAUAUAUACCACAAUUUCUUUAUUCACUCGUUGAUUGAUGGGCAUUUGGGCUAGUUCCAUAUUUUUCCAACUGUAAAUUGCUCUGCUAUAAACAUGUGUGUUCAA